GACGAACGCUGGCGGCGUACCUAAUACAUGCAAGUCGAGCGGACGGAUGGGAGCUUGCUCCCAGACCGUCAGCGGCGGACGGGUGAGUAACACGUGGGCAACCUGCCUGUAAGACUGGGAUAACUCCGGGAAACCGGGGCUAAUACCGGAUAACUCUUUCCCUCACAUGAGGGAAAGCUGAAAGAUGGCAUCUCGCUAUCACUUACAGAUGGGCCCGCGGCGCAUUAGCUAGUUGGUGAGGUAACGGCUCACCAAGGCGACGAUGCGUAGCCGACCUGAGAGGGUGAUCGGCCACACUGGGACUGAGACACGGCCCAGACUCCUACGGGAGGCAGCAGUAGGGAAUCUUCCGCAAUGGACGAAAGUCUGACGGAGCAACGCCGCGUGAGUGAUGAAGGUUUUCGGAUCGUAAAACUCUGUUGUCAGGGAAGAACAAGUACCGGAGUAACUGCCGGUACCUUGACGGUACCUGACCAGAAAGCCACGGCUAACUACGUG
This 498-nucleotide ribosomal RNA is filed under the name uncultured bacterium. RNAcentral describes it as "partial 16S ribosomal RNA". It matches the Rfam family "Bacterial small subunit ribosomal RNA", at positions 28 to 507 of the family's 1533-position model. The record is from RNAcentral.